This 492-nucleotide ribosomal RNA is filed under the name uncultured bacterium. RNAcentral describes it as "partial 16S ribosomal RNA". It matches the Rfam family "Bacterial small subunit ribosomal RNA", at positions 29 to 507 of the family's 1533-position model. The record is from RNAcentral.
AGUGAACGCUGGCGGUAGGCCUAACACAUGCAAGUCGAACGGCAGCACAGUAAGAGCUUGCUCUUACGGGUGGCGAGUGGCGGACGGGUGAGGAAUACAUCGGAAUCUACUUUUUCGUGGGGGAUAACGUAGGGAAACUUACGCUAAUACCGCAUACGACCUACGGGUGAAAGCAGGGGAUCUUCGGACCUUGCGCGAUUGAAUGAGCCGAUGUCGGAUUAGCUAGUUGGCGGGGUAAAGGCCCACCAAGGCGACGAUCCGUAGCUGGUCUGAGAGGAUGAUCAGCCACACUGGAACUGAGACACGGUCCAGACUCCUACGGGAGGCAGCAGUGGGGAAUAUUGGACAAUGGGCGCAAGCCUGAUCCAGCCAUACCGCGUGGGUGAAUAAGGCCUUCGGGUCGUAAAGCCCUUUUGUUGGGAAAGAAAAGCAGCAGGUUAAUACCCCGCUGUUCUGACGGUACCCAAAGAAUAAGCACCGGCUAACUUCGUG